CACGGGGGUUGCGAGCGUUGUCCGGAAUUACUAGGCGUAAAGGGCAGGCAGGCGGAUCCAUAAGUUUAUCGUUUAAGGCGUCGGCUUAACCGGCGUAGGGCGGUAGAUACUGUGGAUCUGGAAUGCGGUUGGGGAAGACAGAAUUCCUGGUGUAGCGGUGGAAUGCGCAGAGAUCAGGAGGAAUACCGAAGGCGAAGGCAGUCUUCCAAGCCGUUAUUGACGCUCAACUGCGAAGGUGUUGGUAUCAAACAGGAUUAGAUACCCGCGUAGUCCCUGAG
This 278-nucleotide ribosomal RNA is filed under the name uncultured prokaryote. RNAcentral's name for it is "partial 16S ribosomal RNA". It matches the Rfam family "Bacterial small subunit ribosomal RNA", at positions 524 to 805 of the family's 1533-position model. The record is from RNAcentral.